AAAUUUUGGUACGAGGCUAAGGUCAUUCUGAACUUCAUUCUGGGCAACAGACUUCCCAGAUUUUUAAGAUCCCUUGCCUAUUCUUGCGGGCAUAAGCACAUACUGACCAAUACAUUAACCCUUUUUUUUUCAUUUUCUUUUUUUUUCUUUCUCUUUCUAUUCUGGACUUUUCUUUACUUUGGGAUUAGAUGUCCCAUUUUGCAAUUUUUGCACUAGUCCUGCCCAUAGCAUCCACUACACUAUCUUCCCUUCUUUUGCCCUUAAGUUCAGUUUGACCAGGACGGCUCAAAUUUGGGCAAAUUUUAUCAGUGAAUUCAAAUGAAUUAUUAAGCUCAAAAGGGUUCACAAGUGAUAGAUGUAGGGUUGGUCAGUUUGGCUUUGUGGGCUAAAGAAAGAAUUGCCUAAAUCAUUUAACACACCUAGACUAUGUACACAGGGUUCGACUAAGAAUCAAGGCAAGUUCUAGCAUUACCCUAGUCAAGAUGUCAAUUUUCACACAAGAAAGAAAAAGCU
This 513-nucleotide long non-coding RNA is filed under the name Salvia miltiorrhiza (redroot sage). RNAcentral describes it as "long non-coding RNA (SMIL_LNC003415)". Lineage: Eukaryota; Viridiplantae; Streptophyta; Magnoliopsida; Lamiales; Lamiaceae. The record is from RNAcentral.